RNAcentral lists this ribosomal RNA (550 nucleotides) under Xerocomus tenax. Its description in RNAcentral is "eukaryotic LSU rRNA". Lineage: Eukaryota; Fungi; Basidiomycota; Agaricomycetes; Boletales; Boletaceae. The record is from RNAcentral.
UGCACGUCCCCUCACCUUUUCUAUCUACACACACUUGUGCACCUAUUGUAGAUCCCUUUCGANAGAGAGGGAACUAUGUUUUCAUCACAUCACACACAAYGUAUGUCUAGAAUGUAAAAAACAAUAUAUACAACUUUCAGCAACGGAUCUCUUGGCUCUCGCAUCGAUGAAGAACGCAGCGAAUUGCGAUAAGUAAUGUGAAUUGCAGAUUUCCAGUGAAUCAUCGAAUCUUUGAACGCACCUUGCGCUCCUUGGUAUUCCGAGGAGCAUGCCUGUUUGAGUGUCAUCGAAUUCUCAACCAUUCUCUCUUUUCUGSGAGUAUGGCUUGGACUUGGGGGUUGCUGGCAGCACUGUCAGCUCUCCUUAAANGCAUUAGCAAUCGAGUUGGCUAGUCUUUUGACGUACACGGCCUCGGACGUGAUAAUGAUCGUCGUGGCUGGAGCGUCUUUCCUAGACUAUGUACAUAGAUCGCUUCUAAUCUGUUGUCUAUCGAGCUUAGCUACUAGGCAGUCUUUUUGGCUGGCGAACGCAAGCGAGACAUUCACAUUCU